GAUGAAGAACGCAGCGAAAUGCGAUACGUAAUGUGAAUUGCAGAAUUCAGUGAAUCAUCGAAUCUUUGAACGCAUAUUGCGCUCUUUGGUAUUCCGAAGAGCAUGCUUGUUUGAGUAUCAGUAAACACCUCAAAACUUUUGAUUUUUUUUUAAAAAAAAAAGGUGUUGGACUUGAGCAAUCCCAACACCAAUCUUUUUUAGAUCGGUGGCGGGUUGCUUGAAAUGCAGGUGCAGCUGGACAUUCUCCUGAGCUAAAAGCAUAUUUAUUUAGUCCCGUCAAACGGAUUAUUACUUUUGCUGCAGCUAAUAUAAAGGGAGUUUGACCGUAUUGGCUGACUGAUGCAGGAUUUCACAAGGGUCGGCAACGAUUCUUGUAAAACUCGAUCUCAAAUCAAGUAAGACUACCCGCUGAACUUAAGCAUAUCAAUAAGCGGAGGA
RNAcentral lists this unclassified non-coding RNA (438 nucleotides) under soil metagenome. RNAcentral describes it as "partial contains 5.8S ribosomal RNA, internal transcribed spacer 2, and large subunit ribosomal RNA". The stretch from base 1 to 120 matches the Rfam family "5.8S ribosomal RNA", at positions 35 to 154 of the family's 154-position model. The record is from RNAcentral.